GGUCCAUCCCUGCACGUCCUGCUAACAGAUCUUACCAGAAGAGUGUCGAGAGCAUCAAUGAGAUGUCUCUGUGUUACCUGACAGCAGCCAUCUCCUCCUCAGUGAACUGACGACCCGCCGCAUCACUCAGCAGCCAAACUAACAGGGUCACACACACGGGAGCGGGAUACAGGAAAUUGAAUAAAACACAAAGAAGUGAAGAAAAACACACGAGCACAGUUCGUCUUCGUACUUCGAUGUCAAGAGUUCCAGCAUUAGUCCCGUCUUCCUGUUUCCCAAGCGUUUGAUUCCCCGGCUUCCUCGACCUUGUUUCCGUGACUCGAUUCUGCCCUUGCCUGAUCCUUGUCUGCUGUACUGCUACGCUGAGUAUCUGCCCGUGUACCAAACCUGUUUCCGUGACCCGACUCUGCUCCUGGAUUACCCCUUGAUAAUUUGUAUGAUCAACUGUCUAUGCGUGUACCAUAGCAACUGCAAAGUUUUCAGUAAAGACUAUUCCCAUUCAACACUUAUCUGACUCUGUGUCGUGCAAUUGAGUCACACCUCCCUUCUGUCUUGAUCGUACCGUUACAGGGUGCUGGUGAAUGGUUGGCCGGUGGUAACCAUCCAAGGUGGAUCACUUGGAAGUGCAGGAUGAGGUCAGCUGAUGGUGGAUGAUGUUGAUUUUGGUGUCAAAGAAUUGCAGGAAGUCGUCGUGGUGGUGGUUGGAGACAUCUGGAGGGAGAGUUGUAGCAGGUUGAAGUAGGUGGCUGACUGUUG
RNAcentral lists this long non-coding RNA (756 nucleotides) under Cottoperca gobio. Its description in RNAcentral is "lncRNA (ENSCGOG00000001894.1)". Lineage: Eukaryota; Metazoa; Chordata; Actinopteri; Perciformes; Bovichtidae. The record is from RNAcentral.